Molecule: long non-coding RNA, 294 nt
Organism: Saccostrea cuccullata (small rock oyster)
Lineage: Eukaryota; Metazoa; Mollusca; Bivalvia; Ostreida; Ostreidae
Exons: 3
Source: RefSeq, a predicted model, not a curated record
AACAAUUCUACGGUUUGGAGAUUAUAUUGGUUGUUUCCAAUACGAAGAUGGAAAAUCUCUGAGAAAUGGUAAAAUAGGUUGGGACUACGGCAGUCUGGAUCUGUGCAAGGCAUUUUGUGGAAAACAGAAUGCUCAUUUCUAUGGUGUAGCGUUUGGCAAAAGGUGUUUGUGUGGCGAUCUAGGAAAAACAAUUCGUAAAGAUGAGAUAGAUUGUAGUCAACCGUGCUCGAAAAAUAAGAAUCAAUGGUGUGGUGGAUAUUAUAGGAUGAGUCUCUAUAUAAAUAGAGACUUUGA